Molecule: ribosomal RNA, 444 nt
Filed under: uncultured prokaryote
Description: bacterial SSU rRNA
Rfam family: Bacterial small subunit ribosomal RNA
Source: RNAcentral
UAAGGAAUAUUGGUCAAUGGAGGGAACUCUGAACCAGCCAUGCCGCGUGUACGAAGAAGGCCCUUCGGGUUGUAAAGUACUUUUAGAUGGGAAGAAUGGUCCUGAUUUAUCAGGGAAGCGACGGUACCAUCAGAAUAAGCACCGGCUAACUCCGUGCCAGCAGCCGCGGUAAUACGGAGGGUGCAAGCGUUAUCCGGAAUCACUGGGUUUAAAGGGUACGUAGGCGGCGGUAUAAGUCAGACGUUAAAGACCGGGGCUAAACCUCGGCACGCGUUUGAAACUGUACGGCUUGAAUAAGAUCGAGGUGCAUGGAAUGCUUCAUGUAGCGGUGAAAUGCAUAGAUAUGAAGUAGAACACCAAAUGCGAAGGCAGUGCACUAGGUCUUUAUUGACGCUGAGGUACGAAAGCGUGGGUAGCGAACAGGAUUAGAUACCCCUGUAGUCC